UUGCUCUCUGAUUAGCGGCGGACGGGUGAGUAAUGCCUAGGAAUCUGCCUGGUAGUGGGGGACAACGUUUCGAAAGGAACGCUAAUACCGCAUACGUCCUACGGGAGAAAGCAGGGGACCUUCGGGCCUUGCGCUAUCAGAUGAGCCUAGGUCGGAUUAGCUAGUUGGUGAGGUAAUGGCUCACCAAGGCGACGAUCCGUAACUGGUCUGAGAGGAUGAUCAGUCACACUGGAACUGAGACACGGUCCAGACUCCUACGGGAGGCAGCAGUGGGGAAUAUUGGACAAUGGGCGAAAGCCUGAUCCAGCCAUGCCGCGUGUGUGAAGAAGGUCUUCGGAUUGUAAAGCACUUUAAGUUGGGAGGAAGGGCAGUAAGUUAAUACCUUGCUGUUUUGACGUUACCGACAGAAUAAGCACCGGCUAACUCUGUGCCAGCAGCCGCGGUAAUACAGAGGGUGCAAGCGUUAAUCGGAAUUACUGGGCGUAAAGCGCGCGUAGGUGGUUCGUUAAGUUGGAUGUGAAAUCCCCGGGCUCAACCUGGGAACUGCAUCCAAAACUGGCGAGCUAGAGUAUGGUAGAGGGUGGUGGAAUUUCCUGUGUAGCGGUGAA
RNAcentral lists this ribosomal RNA (608 nucleotides) under Pseudomonas sp. EECC-500. RNAcentral describes it as "bacterial SSU rRNA". It matches the Rfam family "Bacterial small subunit ribosomal RNA", at positions 81 to 685 of the family's 1533-position model. Lineage: Bacteria; Pseudomonadati; Pseudomonadota; Gammaproteobacteria; Pseudomonadales; Pseudomonadaceae. The record is from RNAcentral.